GAUGAACGCUGGCGGCGUGCCUAAUACAUGCAAGUCGAGCGAACAGAUGAGGAGCUUGCUCCUCUGACGUUAUCGGCGGACGGGUGAGUAACACGUGGAUAACCUACCUAUAAGACUGGGAUAACUUCGGGAAACCGGAGCUAAUAACGGAUAAUAUAUUGACCUGCAUGGUUCAAUAGUGAAAGAUGGUUUUGCUGUCACUUAUAGCUUGAUCCGCGCCGCAUUAGCUAGUUGGUAAGGUAACGGCUUACCAAGGCAACGAUGCGUAGCCGACCUGAGAGGGUGAUCGGCCACACUGGAACUGAGACACGGUCCAGACUCCUACGGGAGGCAGCAGUAGGGAAUCUUCCGCAAUGGGCGAAAGCCUGACGGAGCAACGCCGCGUGAGUGAUGAAGGUCUUCGGAUCGUAAAACUCUGUUAUUAGGGAAGAACAAAUGUGUAAGUAACUAUGCACGUCUUGACGGUACCUAAUCAGAAAGCCACGGCUAACUACGUG
This 497-nucleotide ribosomal RNA is filed under the name uncultured bacterium. Its description in RNAcentral is "partial 16S ribosomal RNA". It matches the Rfam family "Bacterial small subunit ribosomal RNA", at positions 28 to 507 of the family's 1533-position model. The record is from RNAcentral.